GUCUUUUUGAUUUUAAUUUAAAGUUUAACCUGCCCAUUGAAAAUUUUUAAAAGGCUGCGGUAUUUUGACUGUACAAAGGUAGCAUAAUCAUUAGUUUUUUAAUUGAAAACUUGUAUGAAUGGUUGGAUGAGAAAUUAACUUUUUUAAAAAAAUAAUUGAAUUUUACUUUUUAAUUAAAAGGUUAAAAUAAAUUUAAAAGACGAGAAGACCCUAUAGAGUUUUAUAAUUUAUAUUUAAUAUUUAAAAAGAUUAAUUAAAAUUUUAUAAAAGAAAAUAUUUUGUUGGGGUGAUAAUAAAAUUUAAAUAACUUUUAUUUUUUUUUUACAUUAAUAUAUGAAUUUAUGAUCCAUUAUUGAUGAUUAGAAAUUUAAAUUACCUUAGGGAUAACAGCGUAAUUUUUUUUUAAAGUUCAUAUUAAUAAAAAAUUUUGCGACCUCGAUGUUGGAUUAAGAUUUAAUUUUAGGUGCAGCAGUUUAAAUUUUAAGUCUGUUCGACUUUUAAAUUCUU
RNAcentral lists this ribosomal RNA (507 nucleotides) under Pseudolycoriella wernermohrigi. RNAcentral's name for it is "partial 16S ribosomal RNA". Lineage: Eukaryota; Metazoa; Arthropoda; Insecta; Diptera; Sciaridae. The record is from RNAcentral.